Molecule: transfer RNA, 69 nt
Filed under: Podarcis lilfordi (Lilford's wall lizard)
Lineage: Eukaryota; Metazoa; Chordata; Lepidosauria; Squamata; Lacertidae
Description: tRNA.Ala
Source: RNAcentral
GCCAUAGCUCAGUGGUAGAGCAUCUGCUUUGCAUGCAAAAAGUCCCAGGUUCAAUUGCCAGUAUCUCCA